This 484-nucleotide ribosomal RNA is filed under the name uncultured bacterium. Its description in RNAcentral is "partial 16S ribosomal RNA". It matches the Rfam family "Bacterial small subunit ribosomal RNA", at positions 30 to 507 of the family's 1533-position model. The record is from RNAcentral.
AUUGAACGCUGGCGGCAGGCCUAACACAUGCAAGUCGAGCGGAUGAAGGGAGCUUGCUCCUGGAUUCAGCGGCGGACGGGUGAGUAAUGCCUAGGAAUCUGCCUGGUAGAGGGGGAUAACGUCCGGAAACGGGCGCUAAUACCGCAUACGUCCUGAGGGAGAAAGUGGGGGAUCUUCGGACCUCACGCUAUCAGAUGAGCCUAGGUCGGAUUAGCUAGUUGGUGGGGUAAAGGCCUACCAAGGCGACGAUCCGUAACUGGUCUGAGAGGAUGAUCAGUCACACUGGAACUGAGACACGGUCCAGAGUCCUACGGGAGGCAGCAGUGGGGAAUAUUGGACGAUGGGCGAAAGACUGAUCCAGCCGUGCCGCGUGUGUGAAGAAGGUCUUCGGAUGGUAAAGCACUUUAAGUUGGGAGGAAGGGCAGUAAGUUAAUACCUUGCUGUUUUGACGUUACCAACAGAAUAAGCACCGGCUAACUUCGUG